GGCGUAGGCGGCUCGUCAAGUCAGCUGUGAAAUCUCCCGGCUCAACUGGGAGGGUGCAUUUGAUACUGACGGGCUAGAGUGCAGCAGAGGAAGAUGGAAUUCCCGGUGUAGUGGUGAAAUGCGUAGAUAUCGGGAAGAACACUAGUGGCGAAGGCGGUCUUCUGGGCUGUAACUGACGCUGAGGUCCGAAGGCGUGGGGAGCAAACAGGAUUAGAUACCCUGGUAGUCCACGCAGUAAACGAUGGAUACUAGGUAUGGGGAGUAUCGACCCUCUCCGUGCCGAAGCUAACGCUUUAAGUAUCCCGCCUGGGGAGUACGGUCGCAAGACUAAA
RNAcentral lists this ribosomal RNA (332 nucleotides) under uncultured bacterium. RNAcentral's name for it is "bacterial SSU rRNA". It matches the Rfam family "Bacterial small subunit ribosomal RNA", at positions 568 to 898 of the family's 1533-position model. The record is from RNAcentral.